CCCCUCUCAUCGCGGCACAGGCGCAGGCGAGCGGCCGUCCGUCCAGGCGUCCGUCCAAGCGAACUGGUUCAAUCGUCCAGGCGAGCGGCCGUCCGUCCAUGCGUUGGAUUCCAAGAACCGAUGGACAAGGCGACCAAGCUUUUGAUUUAUGGUGCUUCAGCACACUUGUUGUUGUCCAUGAUGGCCAUGGUUAUUGAGUCUAGAAAAAGAAAAAGAGAUAGUAGAAGAGUCGGUAUUACUUAUGGGCCAAUGGAGUAAAGGGAUAGGAUGAGACUUGAUUAUCUUAACACUAAAAUAUGGAUGAGUGAUACAACAUGUGUGAACAUGCUUAGACUUGGUAGGUCUAGUUUCUUUCGCUUUUGUAAGGGCUUUAGAGACCGAGGUUUACUUGAAGAUACAAUACACAUGUGUGUUGAGGAACAAGUGGCCAUGUUUUUGAACACAGUGGGACAGAACCUUAGGAAUAGGUUGGUGGGAACAAAUUAUGGUAGAUCUGGUGAGACUGUUAGUCGCUACUUCAACAAAGUGCUUCGUGCUAUUGGAGAGCUACGAGCUGAACUUAUUAGGCCACCAUCAUUAGAGACUCCAUCCAAAAUAGCAGGAAAUCCAAGAUGGGAUCCCUACUUUAAGGAUUGCAUUGGAGCUAUUGAUGGCACACAUAUAAGAGCUUCGGUUUCCAUAGAUAUGGAACCUUCAUUUCGUGGUAGAAAGUCUUAUGCCCCUCAAAAUGUAAUGGCGGUCGUUGAUUUUGAUCUUCGAUUCACAUAUGUCUUGGCUAGUUGGGAGGGUUCAGCACAUGAUGCUUUAGUACUAAGAGAUGCUUUAGAGCGAGAGAAUGGCCUUCGUGUACCACAAGGAAAAUUCUAUCUAGUGGACGCUGGAUAUGGAGCCAAACCUGGAUUUUUGCCCCCUUUUCGUGUUGUCCGGUAUCACUUGAAUGAAUGGGGAAAUAAUCCGGUACAAAAUGAGAAGGAGUUGUUCAACCUUAGGCACUCGUCUCUUCGUGUCACCGUAGAGCGUGCAUUUGGUUCACUGAAGAGAAGAUUUAAAAUACUUGAUGAUGCCACACCAUUCUUUCCAUUUUCUAGUAUGAAACAUAGAUUGAUGAGGGAGAUGUUAAUGCUGUUCCUAGUCCUAUAGAUGAUAUUGGGGCUUCAUCCUCAGCUCCUAGACCUAGGAAGAAGGCAAAGGUUACUAGUAAUGAAGAGGCAGGGCUGAUUGGAGCAUUCAAAGAUGGUGCUGAAAGGCUUGCAAUGGCUAUUGAGAAGGCUAGUUCAGAUGACCUACCACCUGACUUGCUUCAAACAUUGCAAAGUAUUCCAGGUUUUGAUGACACACACAAGGCCUUUUACUUUGCAUAUCUAGUGAAAAAUCCUGGAUUAGCAAGGCAGUUCCCUACUCUCCCAUUGACAUAUCAGAUAAGUUUUCUUGCUCGGUUCGUUAGUGAGACCUUUCCUUAGAUUAUGAGGACCGGGAAUUAGGACUAUGCUGGAGGUUAAGUGGAAAUUAGAACUAUGUUGUUCUUUUGUUAUGUAAACCAUGACCAAUACUUUGUUUUCAAGUACUGGUAUUGAAAUAAUGGCUUUGCUAUGUCGAAAUACUCGGUUUGUUAUGAAAUACUGGGUUUGUUAUGACCAACA
Molecule: RNA transcript, 1640 nt
Organism: Zea mays
Lineage: Eukaryota; Viridiplantae; Streptophyta; Magnoliopsida; Poales; Poaceae
Gene name: ALP1 pseudogene
Exons: 4
Source: RefSeq, marked validated